This 242-nucleotide unclassified non-coding RNA is filed under the name uncultured Helotiales. RNAcentral describes it as "sequence contains ITS2". The stretch from base 1 to 52 matches the Rfam family "5.8S ribosomal RNA", at positions 103 to 154 of the family's 154-position model. Lineage: Eukaryota; Fungi; Ascomycota; Leotiomycetes; Helotiales. The record is from RNAcentral.
AACGCACAUUGCGCCCCCUGGUAUUCCGGGGGGCAUGCCUGUUCGAGCGUCAUUAUAACCACUCAAGCUCACGCUUGGUCUUGGGGUUCGCGGUUCCGCGGCCCCUAAAAUCAGUGGCGGUGCCUGUCGGCUCUACGCGUAGUAAUACUCCUCGCGUCUGGGUCCGGUGGGUUUACUUGCCAGCAACCCCUAAUUUUUUACAGGUUGACCUCGGAUCAGGUAGGGAUACCCGCUGAACUUAA